RNAcentral lists this ribosomal RNA (253 nucleotides) under uncultured bacterium. RNAcentral's name for it is "partial 16S ribosomal RNA". It matches the Rfam family "Bacterial small subunit ribosomal RNA", at positions 524 to 776 of the family's 1533-position model. The record is from RNAcentral.
UACGUAGGGGUCGAGCGUUGUCCGGAGUUACUGGGCGUAAAGCGUGUGCAGGCGGCUCAUUGCGCCCGGCGUGAAAGCCCCCGGCUCAACCGGGGAGAGUCGUCGGGGACGGGUGAGCUUGAGGGUAUCAGGGGCUGGUGGAAUUCCCGGUGUAGUGGUGAAAUGCGUAGAUAUCGGGAGGAGCACCCGUGGCGAAGGCGGCCAGCUGGGAUACACCUGACGCUGAGACACGAAGGCGUGGGGAGCGAACGGG